Molecule: non-coding RNA, 483 nt
Organism: Paramuricea clavata
Lineage: Eukaryota; Metazoa; Cnidaria; Anthozoa; Malacalcyonacea; Plexauridae
Source: the annotation of a GenBank genome assembly
GACGAGACAUUCAAAUGUAUCUCGGCCAUUGUAAAAUGGUGAAGAUGUUUUGGUUGUUUUGCCGACAGGUUAUGGGCUUAUUAUGGCAAAUAUUAAAAUAUUUCAGCUGCUACCUGACGUGUACGACAUGUUACUUGGCGCAUUAACUAAUUCUAUCGUGAUAGUCAUAUCUCCACAUGAAUGACCAAGGCAUUUCUGCAUGCAUGAUGUCACAGUAUGAUACAAGGCCAUUCUGUGCUACACUAUAUUAUGGUGAUGGCAGCGAUAUAUCAAAUUACCAUUGGAUCGACAUGAGAACCUGACGUAUAAGCUGUUCUAUAUGCACCCAGAAAUGUGUGUCUAUGGCAAGAAAAUACAAGCUUUUUUCAACUGUAUACUGUAAACCUCUGAAUAUAAUGCUCACCUCAUUCCAAAUAUAAGCCCCCCUGAAUACAAGUCCCUGAAUAUAAGCCCAGUAUCCCACUAUGUUAUUUAACAUUGACA